UCCCAAAGGGCGGUAGAAAAAGAGGCGGAGUUCGGCAGUCAGAGGCGGGGCCAUCCCUCAGCCUGUUCUCCGAUUGGUCGGAUUCUCUCCCGCCUUCCGCGCUUUCUGGACGCAAGCGCGCGGGGCCUAUGGCCUCUUCUCUCCUGUGACGCGAGACCAGGCGUUUCUCUCCAGGACAUGACAGCUGUCCCAGUUGGUUUCCUAAUCUCCAAAACGGAGUAAUAUCUAUCUCACAAAGUGACUAUGGAAAUGAAAAAAGAGGUUGGGUUCUCUAGAGAAGCAAAACCAGUGAAGAGAGAGAGAGAAAGAGAGACUUAUAUCAAAGAAAUGGCUCAUCCUUUUGUAGAGGCUAAAAAGUCCCAAGUCUGUGGAUCAGGCUGGAGGCUUCUCCUGAAUCACAUAGCUGCAGGUGCUGGCAAACCCAAGAAUGGCAGGUCAGACAACAGGCCUCUGACUCACAGGCUGUGGAGGCCAACAAAUCCCAAGAUUAGUAGAUAAGCUGGCAGGUUCACAGACUGUGGAUGAAUCCCAGUAUCAGCAGGUAAGCUGUUGACUCAAGUCCCAAGAACUGGAGGUCAGAUGAACAGGAGCCAGCCGCAGAAUCCAGAGCAAGAAAAAGCCUGCAAGCCUUGCCAGAAAGUCCACCUAUGUUGGAUGCGAGCUAUACCCCCUGGGAAACUUCCUUUCCAUUGAUUGACUACUCACAGCAGAUCCCAUCAUGGAAGAUUACAUCACUAUACGACUGCUGAACACUGAGAAUCAUGCCCAGCCAAGUUGACACACAACCUUAACAAUCACAGUUACUUUAGGUGGAAGUUGAGACUAGACUUAAUGGUCUGACUGAGACUAGAAGGACCCCAGUGAUCAUGGCCCCCAGACCUUCUGUUGGCCCUGGACAGGAACCAUUUCCGAGGCCAGCUCGUCAGACAUGGAUUGGACUGGACAAUGGGUUGGAGAGGGAUGCUGAUGAGGAGUGAGCUAUUUGGAUCAGGUGGACACUUGAGACUAUGUUGGCAUCUCCUGCAUGGAGGGGAGAUGGGAGGAUAGAGGGGGUUAGAAGCUGGCAAAUGGACACGAAAAGAGAGGGUGGAAGGAGGGAGCGGGCUGUCUCAUUGGGGGGAGAGUAAUUGGGAGUAUGUAGUAAGGUGUAUAUAACUUUUUAUGUGAAAGAUUGACCUGAUUUGUAAACUUUCACUUAAAGCACAAUAAAAAUUAUUAAAAAAAAAAAUCCCUUUUUUCCUUUUUAAUGCUGCUUAUCUUAAAUUGUAUUUGGGCUAAUAUUAAUAUCAUUAUACAUUUUUUUAAAAUCAAUUUCCUGGCUUAUCUGUUUCAGUUAUUUUUUUCUCUAAAUAUUUCUGUCAUUUUAUUUCAGGUGAGAUUUUCUACUUCCAUUGAAUUUAGCCCACUUGGAUCUUUUAAGGAAACUCUGGUGGCAUAGUGGUUAAGAGCUAUGGCUGCUAACCAAAAGGUCAGCAGUUUGAAUCCACCAGGCACUCCUUGGAAACUCUAUGGGGCAGUUCUACUCUGUCCUGUAGGGUCACUAUGAGUCGGAAUUGACUUGACGGCAGUGGGUUUGGUUUUGGUUUUUUGGGAUCUUUUAAAAUGUCUCAUAAUUUCUAGCCCUUAAAGGAAUAUCUUUCUUAUUUUUCAAUGUAAUCAUAAAUACUUAGAAAUAUUUUUACUCUCGGCUCCAGGAAAUUGAAAGAGAGGAGAGAGAGUGAGCAUUUAUGUAGUGUACCAUUUUGGUCCUAGUACAUUUUAGUAAUUUUUUAGCUCUGCAGCUUAUUAUAGCAUUUCAAGAGUAGUAUUUUUCCUUAUGGAAAUAAUAACUUUUAGUGUAUAUUAUGGAACAUAUAAUGAAUCCCCAUUUUCAGCUUAUCCAGAAAUAAGUAAGU
Loxodonta africana (African savanna elephant) is the source of this 1895-nucleotide long non-coding RNA. RefSeq lists it as uncharacterized. Lineage: Eukaryota; Metazoa; Chordata; Mammalia; Proboscidea; Elephantidae. The record is from RefSeq and is a predicted model, not a curated record. The transcript has 3 exons.